RNAcentral lists this ribosomal RNA (254 nucleotides) under uncultured bacterium. RNAcentral's name for it is "partial 16S ribosomal RNA". It matches the Rfam family "Bacterial small subunit ribosomal RNA", at positions 524 to 776 of the family's 1533-position model. The record is from RNAcentral.
UACGAAGGGGGCUAGCGUUGUUCGGAAUUACUGGGCGUAAAGCGCGCGCAGGCGGCCUUUCAAGUCAGGGGUGAAAGCCCGGAGCUCAACUCCGGAAUUGCCUUUGAAACUGUCAGGCUCGAGUACGGGAGAGGUGAGUGGAAUUCCCAGUGUAGAGGUGAAAUUCGUAGAUAUUGGGAAGAACACCGGUGGCGAAGGCGGCUCACUGGCCCGUUUCUGACGCUCAGGCGCGACAGCGUGGGGAUCGAAACAGG